Chaetomium globosum CBS 148.51 is the source of this 72-nucleotide transfer RNA. It matches the Rfam family "tRNA". Rfam says of the family: Transfer RNA (tRNA) molecules are approximately 80 nucleotides in length. Their secondary structure includes four short double-helical elements and three loops (D, anti-codon, and T loops). Further hydrogen bonds mediate the characteristic L-shaped molecular structure. tRNAs have two regions of fundamental functional importance: the anti-codon, which is responsible for specific mRNA codon recognition, and the 3' end, to which the tRNAs corresponding amino acid is attached (by aminoacyl-tRNA synthetases). tRNAs cope with the degeneracy of the genetic code in two manners: having more than one tRNA (with a specific anti-codon) for a particular amino acid; and 'wobble' base-pairing, i.e. permitting non-standard base-pairing at the 3rd anti-codon position. The record is from Rfam. Lineage: Eukaryota; Fungi; Ascomycota; Sordariomycetes; Sordariales; Chaetomiaceae.
AGCACCAUAGCUCAGGGGAAGAGCGCCGGGCUCAUAACCCGGAGGUCGCUCGAUCGAAACGAGCUGGUGCUA